Molecule: small RNA, 91 nt
Filed under: Klebsiella pneumoniae
Lineage: Bacteria; Pseudomonadati; Pseudomonadota; Gammaproteobacteria; Enterobacterales; Enterobacteriaceae
Also listed under: 1 other name
Description: partial RtT sRNA
Rfam family: RtT RNA
About the family: This family represents a bacterial cis-regulatory element known as RtT RNA. The exact function of RtT is unknown although it is thought that it may be involved in changing the cellular response in relation to amino acid starvation.
Source: RNAcentral
UGCAUCUGAGGCCAGUGAGGAUGAGAACCUCCGGGGGCAGGAGGUUCGACUCGAGCGAAGCGAGAGAACGUUGCGUCAGCAACGGCCCGCA